RNAcentral lists this long non-coding RNA (491 nucleotides) under Pogona vitticeps (central bearded dragon). RNAcentral's name for it is "lncRNA (ENSPVIG00000001965.1)". The record is from RNAcentral. Lineage: Eukaryota; Metazoa; Chordata; Lepidosauria; Squamata; Agamidae.
CUUUCCUUCUUUUUUCAGAAUCCCGUCCCACUCACAUCAAUCAAGACUGCCUUGCACAAAUCUAUGACAGUGAUGCUUCUACCACUUGGGCCAUUCAGUCAAUAGAAAAAACUCAAGGCAGAUUUUAAAUCAACACCAAAAUCAAUCAAGACCAGGCAACUCAGUCUAAGCAAACCAGAAAACAUGACUUCUUCUUGGGCAACACUUGGUCUGCCCUCUGAUAAAAAGCAUUCUAAAAUGGUGCUGGAUGCCAUCAUCCCUGAAACAGAUAAAGCACACACACAAAAAGAAGGAACUUGUACUUUAGCCCCUAAAAAGAAAGAGGCUAUUAAAAAAAAUACAGCUGAGAUCCAGAAGUGACUGUGGCCCUCUUCCAAAUUACACUGGCUACAUCCCAGGUAUGUCUCUCUCUAGUCUGAACAUGUGCUUCUGCUCUAAAUCCAUCCACAUGAAAAACCUUAAUCGUUGGGGAAGCUUAAAGGGAAAACAGG